CAGCAGCCACGGUAAUACGGAGGGUGCAAGCGUUAAUCGGAAUUACUGGGCGUAAAGCGCACGCAGGCGGUUUGUUAAGUCAGAUGUGAAAUCCCCGAGCUUAACUUGGGAACUGCAUUUGAAACUGGCAAGCUAGAGUCUUGUAGAGGGGGGUAGAAUUCCAGGUGUAGCGGUGAAAUGCGUAGAGAUCUGGAGGAAUGCCGGUGGCGAAGGCGGCCCCCUGGACAAAGACUGACGCUCAGGUGCGAAAGCGUGGGGAGCAAACAGGAUUAGAUACCCCUGUAGUCCCUGUCUCUUAUAC
This 301-nucleotide ribosomal RNA is filed under the name uncultured bacterium. RNAcentral's name for it is "partial 16S ribosomal RNA". It matches the Rfam family "Bacterial small subunit ribosomal RNA", at positions 509 to 807 of the family's 1533-position model. The record is from RNAcentral.